This 765-nucleotide long non-coding RNA is filed under the name Mytilus galloprovincialis (Mediterranean mussel). Lineage: Eukaryota; Metazoa; Mollusca; Bivalvia; Mytilida; Mytilidae. The record is from RNAcentral.
ACAAGAGUGCACACACUGAAAUGUCUCGCCUUCUUUACUAAUCAUUGAUAGUAUGUUGAUAGUCCUAAAUAUAAAACUUUAUUACAACUGUCACAUAAACUUCACAUUAACCAAGAAAGCCAAACAUUGACCAAUAAACCAUGAAAUUAAGGUAAAAGUCAGAUGAACCAUUUCAGAAAGACAUGUACAGCUAACAAUUCUUUCAUACAACAAAUAUAGUUGACCUACUGCUUAUAGUUUAAGAAAAACAGACCAAAACAUUAAAACUUAACACUGAGCAAUGAACCGUGAAAAUGAGGUCAAGGUCAAAUAAAACCUGCACAACUAAUAUAUAGAUCAUAAAAUAUUUCCAUACACCAAAUAUAGUUAACAUAUUGCAUAUAGUAUUAGAAAAAAGACCAAAACUCAAAAAUUUAACUUUGACCACUGAACCAUGAAAAUGAGGUCAAAGUCAGAUGACACCUGCCAGCUAGAAACAUGUACACCUUACAAUCCUUCAUACACCAAAUAUAGAAGACCAUUGCAUAUAGUAUUAAGAAAAACAGACCAAAACACAAAACUUAACAAUAACCACUGAACAUGAAAAUGAGGUCAAGGUCAGAUGACACCUGCCAGCUAGACAUGUACACCUUACAAUCCUUCCAUACACCAAAUAUAGAAGACCUAUUGCAUAUAGUAUAAGAAAAACAGGCCAAAACACAAAAACUUAACAAUAACCACUGAACCAUGAAAAUGAGGUCAAGGUCAGAUGACACCUGCCGGCUG